CAAGGACGUUUUCGCAUUGUCGUUGCCAUCCACUUGGCUGAAGCUAAUUUCAUUCGGAGGGCAAACUAGGGGAUCCAGCUGAAAGGCUGGCGCCCAACGGUGGGAAUUUCAUCAGCUGUUGUUGUUUAUUUUCAAGCAGCAGUCGGCCCAAUAAAAAUGCAAUUUUUAUGGUUAAGAAAAUAGAGCGCGGCCGACGUUGCACAUUGGAAAUUGUGCAGAAGCCAGAAGAAAAUAUGUCUUGGAAAAUGGAAAAGCCCGAGCAGCGGCAGCAAUAAGCAUUGAGCUAGUGAUGUAAUACAGAGCAAAAGUGAAGCGGCAAUUGGCGUUGCAAAAAAGAAACAGAUUAUACAAUUUGUGUUGCUGCUGGAGUGAACUAGGACAACAGCAACAGCAACAGCAACAGUAAUACUUUCAGCGGCAGCAGCAGCAGCAGCAGCAGCAGCAACAACAACAACUGAUAAAGACCGGCUGGCAACAGAGAAGCGGCCACUUGCAGCAACAUAAUUUCAAAGUCGGAGCGUGGGAAUCGCAAAUCACGGCAGCAACGGCAGCAACAGCAGCAACAAUCAUCGCAGCACGGCAGCAAAAUCGCGCUCUCGUCGCUCUCCCAAUCGCUCUUUUCGCUCGCCGUUCUCGCGCUGGCGCUGCUCCGUCCCGCUUGCACCGGCGGCCCCUCUCGCUCGCACCCGCUGCGCAGCGUUCGCGUAUAUUUGGAGGCGUUGCGGCGAUCGCUCACGACAGUUGUGCUUGGAACGCUUCGGAGUGAAGAUCGUGCUCGUCCGAUCGGUGCGCGUGAUAAAUACACGGCGAAAAAAAAUUGAAUCAAGAGUUCCCCCCC
Molecule: long non-coding RNA, 838 nt
Organism: Drosophila gunungcola (fruit fly)
Lineage: Eukaryota; Metazoa; Arthropoda; Insecta; Diptera; Drosophilidae
Exons: 2
Source: RefSeq, a predicted model, not a curated record